GAUGAACGCUGGCGGCGUGCCUAAUACAUGCCAGUCGAGCGAACAGACGAGGAGCGUGCUCCCCUGACGUUAGCGGCUGACGGGUGGGUAACACGUGGAUAACCUACCUAUAUGACUUGGAGAACUUCGGGAAACCGGUUCUAAUACCAGAUCAUAUGUUGAACCGCAUGGUUCAAUAGUGAAAGACGGCUUUCCCGUUUCUAUUAGAUGCAUUCGCGCUGCAUUAGCUAGUUGGUAAGGUAACAGCUCACCAAGGCAACGAUCCGUAGCUGACCGGAGAGGGUGAUCAGCCACACUGGAACUGAGACACGGUCCAGACUCCUACGGGAGGCAGCAGUGGGGAAUAUUGCGCAAUGGGCGAAAGCCUGACGGAGCCACACCGCGUGAGUGAAGAAGGUCUUCGGAUCGUAAAACUCUGUUAUUAGGAAAGAACAGAUGUGUAAGUAAAUAUGCACGUCUUGACGGUACCUAAUCAAAAAGCCACGGCUAACUACGUG
This 497-nucleotide ribosomal RNA is filed under the name uncultured bacterium. RNAcentral's name for it is "partial 16S ribosomal RNA". It matches the Rfam family "Bacterial small subunit ribosomal RNA", at positions 28 to 507 of the family's 1533-position model. The record is from RNAcentral.